This 649-nucleotide ribosomal RNA is filed under the name uncultured bacterium. RNAcentral describes it as "bacterial SSU rRNA". It matches the Rfam family "Bacterial small subunit ribosomal RNA", at positions 66 to 708 of the family's 1533-position model. The record is from RNAcentral.
GUUGAACUGAGAGCUUGCUCUCUGGGUGGCGAGUGGCGGACGGGUGAGGAAUACAUCGGAAUCUACUUUUUCGUGGGGGAUAACGUAGGGAAACUUACGCUAAUACCGCAUACGACCUACGGGUGAAAGCAGGGGAUCUUCGGACCUUGCGCGAUUGAAUGAGCCGAUGUCGGAUUAGCUAGUUGGCGGGGUAAAGGCCCACCAAGGCGACGAUCCGUAGCUGGUCUGAGAGGAUGAUCAGCCACACUGGAACUGAGACACGGUCCAGACUCCUACGGGAGGCAGCAGUGGGGAAUAUUGGACAAUGGGCGCAAGCCUGAUCCAGCCAUACCGCGUGGGUGAAGAAGGCCUUCGGGUUGUAAAGCCCUUUUGUUGGGAAAGAAAUCCAGCUGGUUAAUACCCGGUUGGGAUGACGGUACCCAAAGAAUAAGCACCGGCUAACUUCGUGCCAGCAGCCGCGGUAAUACGAAGGGUGCAAGCGUUACUCGGAAUUACUGGGCGUAAAGCGUGCGUAGGUGGUCGUUUAAGUCCGUUGUGAAAGCCCUGGGCUCAACCUGGGAACUGCAGUGGAUACUGGGCGACUAGAAUGUGGUAGAGGGUAGCGGAAUUCCUGGUGUAGCAGUGAAAUGCGUAGAGAUCAGGAGGAACA